GAUCCUGCGGGGCAGCGCCCUCACCGGGUCGGCUCUGGCGGCACUGGCGGAGUCGUAGUGCAGGGUGAUAAACGAGGGGGGCCUGCCGGCCAUCACCACCACGUGGCAGGUGCGUGUGUGUGUAUCUGUGUGUGUGUGUCUGUUUGUGUGUCUGUGUGUGUAUCUGUGUGUGUAUCUGUGUGUAUGUGUUUGUUUGUGCGUGGGUGUGGGUAUGCAAAAGUCUGUGUGAACGUGCGUGUGCUUCGUCGCGGAUUUCGUCGCGGCCUGAUUGAGAUCUUGGUUGUCAGAGAACUUUUUCAGACCCCUGGUAUCUUUUCCCCUCCCCCACUCCUUUUCCCCCCGCCCAUCCCUUUUUGGCCCCCCACUCCAACCCCUGUCUUGCCGUACCUCCAGAGCGUCGUACAAUCCGAGUGCCGGCGUGCGUUAGAUGCGGCUGCUGACUUGUAUAGGGCCCGGCUGGAGUCCGUCCGGGCGAGGGAGGUAGGCGAUAUUGGGAGGGGGUGAAGGAAAGGGCGAGUGGGUGAGUGGGUGGGGUUUCUUCCACGAGGCGUCUGUCUGUAUAUCUGUCCAUCCGUAUGCCACCGCCGUUGCAGAGGCGCGGGAAGUAUGUGACACGGCCAUCAUCAUCCGGCCGCGCGGAUAAUCCACCCCAACACCCCACACACGCACACCCAGGCGC
RNAcentral lists this long non-coding RNA (679 nucleotides) under Volvox carteri. Its description in RNAcentral is "long non-coding RNA (VCAR_LNC002254)". Lineage: Eukaryota; Viridiplantae; Chlorophyta; Chlorophyceae; Chlamydomonadales; Volvocaceae. The record is from RNAcentral.